UACAGAGGUCCCAAGCGUUGUUCGGAUUUACUGGGCGUAAAGGGUGCGUAGGCGGUGGGGUAAGUUUGAGGUGAAAGCUCCGGGCUCAACCCGGAAAAUGCCUUGAAAACUAUCCGGCUAGAGGGUUGGAGGGGAGACUGGAAUUCUCGGUGUAGCAGUGAAAUGCGUAGAUCUCGAGAGGAACACCAGUGGCGAAGGCGGGUCUCUGGACAACACCUGACGCUGAGGUACGAAAGCCAGGGGAGCAAACGGG
Molecule: ribosomal RNA, 253 nt
Filed under: uncultured bacterium
Lineage: Bacteria
Description: partial 16S ribosomal RNA
Rfam family: Bacterial small subunit ribosomal RNA
Source: RNAcentral